RNAcentral lists this ribosomal RNA (440 nucleotides) under Bombus trifasciatus. RNAcentral's name for it is "partial 16S ribosomal RNA". Lineage: Eukaryota; Metazoa; Arthropoda; Insecta; Hymenoptera; Apidae. The record is from RNAcentral.
GGCCUAUUGAAUAUAAUUUUAGGUCGAUCUGCCCAAUGAUUUUUAAUUUAAUGGCUGCGGUAUUUUGACUGUACAAAGGUAGCAUAAUCAAUUGUUUUUUAAUUGGAAACUGGAAUGAAAGAAUUAAUGAGAUAUAUACUGUCUCAUAUAUAAUAAAUGAAUUUAAAUUUUUAGUUAAAAUGCUUAAAUUAUUUUAUGGGACGAUAAGACCCUAUAGAAUUUUAUAUUAAUAUAAAUAGUUAUGUUUAUAAAAUUUUUAUAUUAAUAUUUAAUUGGGAGGAUUAGUAAAUUUAAAAAACUUUACUUUGAAUUUAAACUUUGAUUUAAGAAUUUUUUUGAUCUUGUAUUAUGAAAAUAAGAAUAAAUUACCUUAGGGAUAACAGCGUAAUAUCUUUUUAAAGGUCAUAUUAAUAAAGAUGAUUGCGACCUCGAUGUUGAAU